Mauremys reevesii (Reeves's turtle) is the source of this 2147-nucleotide long non-coding RNA. RefSeq lists it as uncharacterized. Lineage: Eukaryota; Metazoa; Chordata; Testudines; Geoemydidae. The record is from RefSeq and is a predicted model, not a curated record. The transcript has 5 exons.
CAGGCCUGGGGCUGGUGCCCCAGAAGGGGAGUUGAACUGUCUGAAUGAGAGUUAGCUGUGAGAAGGGAGCUGGCUGGGACUGGGAAGGAGCAGGAUUACUAGAGAGCCCUGCGAGCAGAGUCCAAGAAAGCCUAGGAUAAACAGGAGAAAACAAACAGUGGAGUCCAAAAGAGACAAGGCUCUCUAAUCUCUCAUAAAAAGGCUGUGGAAAUUUGAAAGGAAAGGAAGAUGAUGGUAUCGCCUGCACUGAGACGAUCCAGCUUGUUGAUCCCUGUGAGACCGGACUCUGAUCUGGGGCUGAAAGAGAUGCUUCUGGACUCUUACACUCCAGGCCGAAGACUGGCACCACCAACUUAUUUCAUGUGAUGUAACACUUUGAGCCAGGAGACAGCAGCAUAGGAAUUGUCAUACCAGAUAUGACCAGUGGUCCAUCCAGUCCAGUAUCCUGUCACCAACAAUGUGCAGCACCAGAUAUGCAGAAGAAACACUGCAGUAGACAAUUAUGGACUCACCUGCUCAUAAGGUUCUGGAUGCAACUCUAUGCAGAAGUAUCAAAAUACUACGAAACAAACAGUCCUUGUGGUAUUUUUAUUAUGACCGGAAGCGGGAAUUACUGGAAAUCUCCUGGAAAAAAAACUGUCCUCAUGAGAGAUCAGACCCAAAUAUCAACACUUUUUGAGGAUCACCCAUCAUUACAUGCAGGUACUUUUAAAACCGUGGCGAGAGAGAGAGACGUCUUCAUUGGGGUUUCAUAGACUGACCCUUGCUUUACUAUUUCACCUCCCAUAUGGUGGUGUAAUGAUUGUGUCUACACUGCAUGAGUUUUCACACAGCAAUGACUCAUCACCCCAAAUUGUGCUCUGGGCUCAGUGGAAAUCAUAGUAUGCAUUUUCCUGGGAUGUUCCCUUCUUUUGGUUUUCCAUAGUCCUGGUUAGGAAUGUGGAGGGAUCCCUUUUUUUCUAUCCUAAUCCCAUAAAACAUUACAGAACCUUACCAAAUUCAAUUUGAAAUAGGUUCAUAUUUUUUCCCCCAAGCAGAGGACUUUGAGUUCACAGCAUUUGAACGUUUGAAAAGAUUCAGGUUUGAAUUACUGUUGUUGUCCUAUGUUUAAAUGCCCCAUAGUUAAAUCAUAGAGUAAGUUUCAGUUUGAUGGAUGUAGCAUGACAUUCAGUCUUUCACUGGAGAUGGAACAAGUGGGGAUAGUGGAAAACAUUGUGGCUAUAUCUGUGCUGGGGGGUGGUUUCUGGCAAAAGCAGCUUAAGCAUAUAACUCACCAGUGAACAAAAGCUUAUAAAUAUUCACAGAUAUCCUGGUAGUGCAAAAACCUUUGCACAGCAGUUCAGAGACCAGAAAAGCUUGUACGAGCCACUGCUGGCCCAUAGAUGCAGGCUGAGUUCAAACCCAGGCUGAUUUUGCGUAAUUUUGAGGUGAGAGAUGAAUGUUUUACACAACACUGAUUUGAGGCCACUUUGACAAUUGGGGCUGGGCUGUAAAAUAAUUUAUACUGUAGUAUGAAUUGUGUUGGGAAACAAGGUUACUGACGACUUGAGAAAAAGAAUAUGUCUUAGAAACACUCAUGUGGUUUAUAUGGGGCCUGCUCGAUCAGAAUAUUUCGGCUCUUGGUUUAUGUUUUUGGAGAGGUGUGAUGAAGUGAAUUAAAUAUGUAGAAAUCAGACACAUCUGAGUUCCAUUUUCAGCUCUGACACUGACUCCCUCAGUGAAUUUAGAUAAAUCACUUAACCUGUUAGCCCUAAAUUCCUUACUCAUAAAGCCAGGGUACGAUUGUGCUUACCUCACAGGAUGAGGAUUAAUGAAUUCAUGUUUGUAAAGCCUGUAGAACAUGAAAAGCUUCAUGUAAGUGCUAAAUACUCUUACUGAAGUAGCACCAGUCUGUGAAGAAUCAUCUGUGUGUGAAUAAAACACUUUUUGUAAACUGACUUCAGUUCCUUGGUUAAACAGAAUCUGAGUGUAACUGGGCCCACAAAGGACUUGGAUCUGUGAUGUGUAGGACCAACAGUGUGAUGACUGACUGCUUGAGGCAAAGGACUUUAAGGGUCAGGUCUGUAAAGUUAUGUUGGUGCCUAAAGAUGCAGACAGUCACACUGUAUGAUCUUCAAAAGCACGUAGGCAACUAACUCCCAUUGAUU